Molecule: RNA transcript, 2396 nt
Organism: Syngnathoides biaculeatus (alligator pipefish)
Lineage: Eukaryota; Metazoa; Chordata; Actinopteri; Syngnathiformes; Syngnathidae
Gene: trim2b
Gene name: tripartite motif containing 2b
Exons: 14
Source: RefSeq, a predicted model, not a curated record
GCUGCGGUUGUCGUGAGGAUGAGGAUGAGGAUGAUGGUGGCACCAUCCUCCCCCCUCCUCACGCGCAGGCAGAAAAGGAUGGCUCGAGGCUGGAAAACACACACGCUGUUCGGCCGUGCGUCCGUCGCACCGCGACAUGGACUUUGGCUCUGAGCGCCUCACGGAUUGAGGGCAGCCCGGGCAGCAGCGCAGCGGAGACGUCACCUCGCCGCCCAUCCGAUGGCGGCCCAUCAACACUCUCCGGACAGCAGCAGUGAGGAGUGCACUGUGCUGGAGGCUCCGCCCCCCAAGGACACCUGCCCGCAACAUGGCGGCAAGGUGUGCGACUACUGUUGGGCGUGCCUGCGUCCGCUGUGCGCCGAGUGCGCAAGCGAGCACGGCGAGCACCCGUUGGCGCCUCUUGGCGACGCCUUGGAACAGCACCGGCGAACUUUGGAGGCGUGGAUGAGGGCGGCUCACGACAGACUGCCGCAGAUUUCGGCCGCCGCCGUGGUGGUGGGAGAGAUGGUCCAGCAGCUGACCAGUCAGAGGGCGGCCAUCGAGGAAGACAUCCAGUCCAGCUUCGAGGACCUUCACAAGCAGCUGGACGUGAGGAAGAGCGUUCUUCUCAUGGAGCUGGAGGUCACCUUCGGCCUCAAGCACAAGGUCCUCCAGUCUCAGUUGGAGAACCUGCUGCAGGGCGAGGGCGUCGCGUCGUCUGCCUGCGCCCGUGCGGAGGAGGUCCUGGCGACCGAGGCCUGUGUCGCAAGUCUGGAAGUGGAGCUGGACCUCAAGGAGAAGCUGGAGGAGCUGGCCAGGCGGGGCCUGUCGUGCCAGCCGGAGGAGAACGACCAGCUGGACCUGAUCCUGGAGGCGGACGGACUACGAAAGUGGAUCCACAACCUCGGCACCAUUGUGACCACCAGCGCCGUGGCAAGCCAGAGCGAGGCCAUGGGCGCUGGCCUGGAGCAGUGCACCGUGGGACUCCCUUCCUCUGUCACCAUCGUUACCAGAGACAAGUCCGGGGGGGCCUGCAAGAGCGGAAACGCCAUCCUGUCCGCCGAGGUGUUCACGCCCGACGGCAGCAUCGUGGACGGCGAGAUCGUGGACCACAAGAACGGAACGUACGAGUUUGUCUACGUGCUGCCCAAAGAGGGCGACUUCUCACUGGCACUGCGUCUGUACGACCAGCACAUUAAAGGAAGUCCCUUCAAACUGAGCGUCGCCACGCCGCAGGUGUCGCCCUCCACCACCACGCCCUCCAACUCUGCAGCCAACGCCACGCCGUCCACGGGCUCCUCAGAGGGCGCCAAGAGACGGGGCAAGUCCCCCGGCCAGAAGAAGAAGGGCUCCAAGAGGGCCAGCAGCGCCCUGGGAACGCCACGUCGCAAAACCCAGAACCCCAUCGAGGACGACCUCAUCUUUCGGAUCGGAACCAAGGGCCGCAACAAAGGCGAGUUCACCAACCUUCAAGGGAUCGCCGCCGCCGCCGACAGCGGGAACAUCCUGAUCGCCGACAGCAACAACCAGUGUGUGCAGGUCUUCUCCAGCCAGGGAGAAUUCAAGAGUCGAUUUGGGGUGCGCGGGCGGUCCCCGGGGCAACUGCAGCGGCCCACGGGUGUGGCGGUGCACCCCAGCGGUGACAUCAUCGUCGCCGACUACGACAACAAGUGGGUCAGCAUCUUUUCCAGCGACGGCAAGUUCAAGGCCAAGCUGGGUUCGGGCAGGCUGAUGGGACCCAAGGGCGUGUCAGUGGAUCACGAGGGUCACGUGAUCGUAGUGGACAACAAAGCGUGCACGGUCUUCAUCUUCCAGCUGAGCGGAAAGCUCGUCACCAAGUUCGGGAGCCGCGGCAAUGGCGACAAGCAGUUUGCGGGUCCGCACUUUGCCGCUGUCAACAAGAACAACGAGAUCAUCGUGACCGACUUCCACAACCACUCUGUCAAGGUGUUCACGCCCGAAGGAGAGCUGCUCCUCAAGUUCGGCUCCAACGGCGAAGGCAACGGACAGUUCAACGCCCCGACCGGUGUGGCCGUGGACGCAAACGGGAACAUCAUCGUGGCUGACUGGGGGAACAGCCGCAUCCAGGUGUUCGACGGCAGCGGUUCUUUCCUGUCCUACAUCAACACGUCGGCCGACCCCUUGUACGGGCCGCAGGGGUUGGCCCUGACCCGGGACGGACACGUGGUGGUGGCCGACUCGGGAAACCACUGCUUCAAAGUUUAUCGCUACCUGCAAUGACGGCAAGCUGGAGGAAGCUCGGGAGGCGGCGGCUGGCAUUUUCUUUCCGACCAACAUGGAUGGCGAAAGGCCAGAGCUAGCAGUCCACAGUGUAGUGGCGCGCUGUGGGCCCCCCCCCCUCCCUUCCCCCCGCACCCCCAAAGGGAGAGCACGGUGACCAAUCGACCCUUUAAAGC